Paramuricea clavata is the source of this 1017-nucleotide non-coding RNA. NCBI's taxonomy places the organism in Eukaryota, Metazoa, Cnidaria, Anthozoa, Malacalcyonacea, Plexauridae. The record is from the annotation of a GenBank genome assembly.
CAACUAUUUUACUGUAUAAAAAUGAUAUUUUCAUAAAUAUAACUUAAAACCAGCAGGAGCACAACUCAAAAGCGUAACGGUACCGCGAUUUAAGAUUUUCCGGAAUAAUUCUUACAUUAUUUUAUAGUUUGUCAUUUUUACACCUUUACCAUAUUUUGCAUGCACUGGAGAACAUUUGGUGAAAAUUUGAUGAAAAUCGGACUGAUCUUGAGCGCGCAGUAGCGAUUUUCCGAAAAACGCCAAAAAGGGUGUCCUGUAACCUUAAGUUUCGUGUUUCAAACGUGUUGUUGACUAAAACCUCUAUCAACAACCGUUUUUAUUUACACUUAUUAAGUUUCGUGUUUCAAAUGUGUUCUUGAGCUAAGGUAUGCACUGCAUAAAGUCUAACAAUAUUGCAAUAUUCAAAACAUGUUCAUAAGUUCGAUCACAACGAAGGUUUCUUUUGCGAGAGUUCCCAUGUUCUGCUUCUUCAUUCUUCUGUAGCAUGGUUUUAAAUCUCAUGUCUUGUCAACUCUCAGGCUUGCAAACUUCAUCCACAGGGCCAGCAUCCCCAAAUUUCGCCGACUGUAUAAUACUUUUACUUCAUGUAUGCCCAUCACGAGAGACACUUACGAUGUUUCGCUGCAGUUUGAAACUUGUUUUGGAAGAGAUAAUCACAACUCAACUGUCACAUAAUGGCAAUGUCAAGGAAGUCGUGUCUUGGAAAGACAAUUCCACGGGAUAAAGGAAGAUAACAAAUGACUGACAUAUAACUGAGGAAAUAUCAACCUCAAAUGAACAAUUUUUGACAUUGGUUGACUUGAACAAAUGCAUGUGAUCAGCAUUUCUGAUUCUUUCUUUAGAAAAUCUAUUCUUUAAAGCCUUGUCCUAACUGCGACGCAAACAAAUUAAAGCAUAAGAGUUAAGGAUCAAACGUAUCGACUUCUUAUGCGUUCUUUUCGCUUAUGUUGUUGUUUAUGCUUGCGCUUUAUCUUGCGUUGUAUCGAGGACAUAGUGAAAACACAAGCAUAAGAACAU